This 30-nucleotide non-coding RNA is filed under the name Rattus norvegicus (Norway rat). Lineage: Eukaryota; Metazoa; Chordata; Mammalia; Rodentia; Muridae. The record is from RNAcentral.
UGACAUUUUUGGUGAUGAUUUCUAUGUACU